Molecule: ribosomal RNA, 377 nt
Filed under: uncultured bacterium
Lineage: Bacteria
Description: bacterial SSU rRNA
Rfam family: Bacterial small subunit ribosomal RNA
Source: RNAcentral
AUACGUAGGGAGCGAGCGUUGUCCGGAAUCAUUGGGCGUAAAGAGCAUGUAGGUGGAUCAAUUAGUCUGCUGUGAAAGUCGAAGGCUCAACCUUCGAAAGCCGGUGGAUACUGUUGAUCUAGAGUACGGAAGAGGCGAGUGGAAUUCCUGGUGUAGCGGUGGAAUGCGCAGAUAUCAGGAGGAACACCAAUAGCGAAGGCAGCUCGCUGGGACGUUACUGACACUAAGAUGCGAAAGCGUGGGGAGCAAACAGGAUUAGAUACCCUGGUAGUCCACGCCGUAAACGAUGGGUACUAGAUGUGGGAGGUGUCGACUCCUCCCGUAUCGUAGCUAACGCACUAAGUACCCCGCCUGGGGAGUACGGCCGCAAGGCUAAA